RNAcentral lists this ribosomal RNA (468 nucleotides) under uncultured bacterium. RNAcentral's name for it is "partial 16S ribosomal RNA". It matches the Rfam family "Bacterial small subunit ribosomal RNA", at positions 28 to 507 of the family's 1533-position model. The record is from RNAcentral.
GACGAACGCUGGCGGCGUGCUUAACACAUGCAAGUCGAACGGAAAGGCCCUGCUUUUGUGGGGUGCUCGAGUGGCGAACGGGUGAGUAACACGUGAGUAACCUGCCCUUGACUUUGGGAUAACUUCAGGAAACUGGGGCUAAUACCGGAUAGGAGCUCCUGCUGCAUGGUGGGGGUUGGAAAGUUUCGGCGGUUGGGGAUGGACUCGCGGCUUAUCAGCUUGUUGGUGGGGUAGUGGUUUACCAAGGCUUUGACGGGUAGCCGGCCUGAGAGGGUGACCGGCCACAUUGGGACUGAGAUACGGCCCAGACUCCUACGGGAGGCAGAAGUGGGGAAUAUUGCACAAUGGGCGGAAGCCUGAUGCAGCAACGCCGCGUGCGGGAUGACGGCCUUCGGGUUGUAAACCGCUUUCGCCUGUGACGAAGCGUGAGUGACGGUAAUGGGUAAAGAAGCACCGGCUAACUACGUG